GGCCCGCUGGCCAAAUGGUAAGGCGUCUGAUUUCGGUUACUGAAAUCAUAAACUCAGAAGAUUGUGCGUUCGAGCCGCACGUGGGUCG
Molecule: non-coding RNA, 88 nt
Organism: Lasiosphaeria hispida
Lineage: Eukaryota; Fungi; Ascomycota; Sordariomycetes; Sordariales; Lasiosphaeriaceae
Source: the annotation of a GenBank genome assembly